CUACGGGCGGCUGCAGUGAGGAAUAUUGCACAAUGGGGGAAACCCUGAUGCAGCAACGCCGCGUGGAGGAUGACGCAUUUCGGUGUGUAAACUCCUUUUAUAUGUCAAGAAAAUGACGGUAGCAUAUGAAUAAGCACCGGCUAACUCCGUGCCAGCAGCCGCGGUAAUACGGAGGGUGCAAGCGUUAUUCGGAAUCACUGGGCGUAAAGGACGCGUAGGCGGGUUAUCAAGUCAGGUGUGAAAUCCUACAGCUUAACUGUAGAACUGCACUUGAAACUGGUAGCCUAGAGUAUGGGAGGGGCAGAUGGAAUUAGUGGUGUAGGGGUAAAAUCCGUAGAUAUCACUAGGAAUACCGAAAGCGAAGGCGAUCUGCUGGAACAUUACUGACGCUAAGGCGUGAAAGCGUGGGGAGCAAACAGGAUUAGAUACCCCAGUAGUC
RNAcentral lists this ribosomal RNA (439 nucleotides) under uncultured bacterium. RNAcentral's name for it is "partial 16S ribosomal RNA". It matches the Rfam family "Bacterial small subunit ribosomal RNA", at positions 339 to 795 of the family's 1533-position model. The record is from RNAcentral.